AACAAUUUGUAAUAAACCAAUUAGGAUAAUCUAAAUUGCAGUUUUAAAAUUCUAUUGUUUAUCCCUGCAUGGCACAUCAAUGCUGUUGAUGGUAAAUGAUCUUGAGUGGCAUAUGCCAUCAAUAGCAUAUUACAGAUUAAGCAUGAUUUGGCAACACAGUCAGCAGAAAAAAUCAUGCUGAUGGUGUUUUGAGAUCACUGCUGUGAUCUCUUUAUGGAUAUUCAUCCAGAGGCAGCCACAUUAAUCUGGCAUCAUUUUAUAUAAUGUUAGAGCAGUUUCAACAAGAAAUUUGUUAGAAACACUCAGACUAACAUAUGGACAAUACAUGAUCCCAUGUGAUACAAAUAAUGACUAAUAAGAUUAAUUCUUAGGGAUGACAAUUUUUUGCAUACCUGCCAAACCAAACCCUUCCAGAUUUUUGUUUGAUAAUGCUUAUUCAAAGAGCAUUUGCUGAUAAACACUUUCAAAAUGUAAUGAAGUUAAGUCAGUUAUCUGACAAUGGCUCCAUAACCAACCAGACAGUUUUUCUAAUGGGAAUGAAAAACUUUUAUCAUGUGAAUCAUCAUGAUCACCAUAAAUGCAUCAAUGUCACUAUAAUAUGCAUAUUGAAAUAUUUAUAUUGUAAGAAUAGUGUAAGUGAAAUAAAUUUACUAACUUCCUCUUUGAUUCUACCUUGUAUAAAAUAUAAAAUAGACUUUGUAACUUAAAAUUGAAUACUU
Molecule: long non-coding RNA, 719 nt
Filed under: Androctonus crassicauda
Lineage: Eukaryota; Metazoa; Arthropoda; Arachnida; Scorpiones; Buthidae
Source: RNAcentral